This 478-nucleotide ribosomal RNA is filed under the name uncultured bacterium. RNAcentral's name for it is "bacterial SSU rRNA". It matches the Rfam family "Bacterial small subunit ribosomal RNA", at positions 28 to 493 of the family's 1533-position model. The record is from RNAcentral.
GAUGAACGCUAGCUACAGGCUUAACACAUGCAAGUCGAGGGGCAGCAUGGACUCAGCUUUGCUGAGUUUGAUGGCGACCGGCGCACGGGUGAGUAACGCGUAUCCAACCUGCCCUUUACUCCGGGAUAGUCUCCUGAAAGGGGGUUUAAUACCGGAUGUGUUUGUUUUUCCGCAUGGGAGCGACAAAUAAAGAUUAAUUGGUAAAGGAUGGGGAUGCGUCCCAUUAGCUUGUUGGCGGGGUAACGGCCCACCAAGGCAACGAUGGGUAGGGGUUCUGAGAGGAAGGUCCCCCACAUUGGAACUGAGACACGGUCCAAACUCCUACGGGAGGCAGCAGUGAGGAAUAUUGGUCAAUGGGCGAGAGCCUGAACCAGCCAAGUAGCGUGAAGGACGACGGCCCUACGGGUUGUAAACUUCUUUUAUAAGGGAAUAAAGUUCGCCACGUGUGGUGUUUUGUAUGUACCUUAUGAAUAAGCAU